This is a long non-coding RNA of Chloebia gouldiae (Gouldian finch), 2357 nucleotides long. The record is from Ensembl. Lineage: Eukaryota; Metazoa; Chordata; Aves; Passeriformes; Passeridae.
GCUUCCCGUGGGAACCCCGUGCUGAAAAUCCGGGAUUCCAUCCAGGAAUUCCGGGAUUUCCCGCAGGAUCCCUCCUUUCCCAUCCUGAAAAUCCGGGAUUUCCAGCAGCAUCUGGAAUCCCAUCCCAGAAAUCCGGGAAUUCCGGGAUUUCCAGCCGGAUCCGGUCCUUCCCGCGGGAAUUCUGGGAAUGCUCGGAGGAGCGCGAGGGAAUUGCUCGGACAGGCGGGAGGAAAUUCCGGCUUUUUUCGGGAGCCGGCGGCGCCGGAGCCGCAGCUGCGCUUCCCGAGGCCGCUCCCGGCGUUUUUCAUGGAAUUCUUUCCCAGCUGUUCCCUCUCCGCUUCCAGGGGUUUUUCGGGAUCACCCCCCGUGACCCCGCUCCGGCUUUUCCAGAGGAUUUCUGGGAUCCACGGGGGGAAUUUGGGAAUCCCAAAAGCCCCAAGUGGGAUCCCUCGGGAUCGNNNNNNNNNNGGUUCUCGGCUGGAAUUUCUGUUUUCUCCUGCUGGGACUCCUCUUUUUCCAGCUGGAAUUCCCAUUCCCCAGCCGGAAUUCCCAUUCCCAAUCCCAGUUUUCCCAUUUCCCAGAGCCGGAAUUCCUGUUCCCGAUCCCGCCGUUCCCGCUCCCAAUCCUGUUUUUCCCGCCGUUCCCAGUCCCAUUCCCGCCGUUCCUGAUCCAAAUCCCACCAUUCCUGAUCCCGUUCCUGUUCCAAAUCCCGCCGUUCCCAAUCCCGUUCCUGAUCCCAUUUCCGCUGUUCCCAAUCCCGUUCGUUCCCAUUCCCGUUCCCGUUUCUAUUCCCAUUCCUGUUCCCAAUCCCAUUCUUGCUGUUCCCAUUCCCAAUCCUGUUCCCAAUCCCGCCAUUCCCAUUCCUGUUCCCAAUCCCACCGUUCCCAUUCCCAAUCCCAUUGUUCCCGUUCCCGUUCCCAAUCCCGCCGUUCCCGUUCCCGUUGUUCCCGUUCCCGAUCCCGUUCCCAUUCCCAUUCCCGCUGUUCCCGUUCCCGAUCCCAUUCCCGCUGUUCCCAUUCCCGUUCCCGUUGUUCCCAUUCCCGCCGUUCCCGUUCCCAAUCCCGCCAUUCCCGUUGUUCCCAUUCCCGUUCCCGUCCCCAUUCCCGCCGUUCCCGUUCCCAUUCCCAUUCCCGUUCCUAUUCCCGUUGUUCCCAUUCCCAUUCCCAUUCCCGGUGUUCCCAUUCCCGUUCCCGUUCCCAAUCCCGCCGUUCCCGAUCCCAUUCCCGAUCCCAUUCCCGUUGUUCCCGUUCCCGUUCCCGAUCCCAUUCCCGGUGUUCCCGUUCCCGUUCCCGUCCCCAUUCCCGCCGUUCCCGAUCCCAUUCCCGAUCCCAUUCCCGGUGUUCCCAUUCCCAUUCCCGAUCCCAUUCCCGCCGUUCCCGUCCCCAUUCCCGCCGUUCCCGAUCCCAUUCCCGGUGUUCCCAUUCCCGUUCCCGCCGUUCCCAUUCCCGUUCCCGAUCCCAUUCCCGGUGUUCCCAUUCCCGUUCCCGAUCCCAAUCCCGCCGUUCCCAUUCCCGAUCCCAUUCCCGCUGUUCCCAUUCCCGUUCCCGAUCCCAUUCCCGCCGUUCCCGAUCCCGUUCCCGAUCCCAUUCCCGGUGUUCCCAUUCCCGUUCCCGAUCCCAUUCCCGGUGUUCCCGUUCCCGUUCCCGAUCCCAUUCCCGGUGUUCCCGCUGCUCCAGGCCCCUCUCCGCAGCACUACGUGGCCGUGUCCAGCCCCACCAACACCACGCAGCUGCUGCAGGCGGUGCUGGGAAACCUCACCGGGGCCAGCGCCAACCUCAGCCGGGAGCAGUGCCAGGAUCCCGGGAAAACCCCGGGAACGGAGCCCGAGCUGUACGAGUACUGGUGGGNNNNNNNNNNCCCAAUAUCCCAAAUCCCCAAUAUUCCAAAUUCCCAAUAUCCCAAAUUCCCAAUAUCCCCAAUCCCCAAAUCCCAAUAUCCCAAAUCCCAAUAUCCCAAAUCCCCAAAUUCCAAUAUACUCGAUCCCCAAAUCCCCAACAUCCUAAAUCCCCAAUCCCAAUAUCCCAAUUCCCCAAAUCCCAAUUCCUCAAUAUCCCAAUUCCCCAAUAUCCCAAUUCCCCAAAUCCCCAAUAUCCCCAAAUCCCAAAUUCCCAAAUCCCAAAUUCCCAAUAUCCCAAAUUCCCAAACCCCCAUUCCCGUUUUCCAGCUGCUGACGCUGGCCCUGGGGGUGCUGGUGCUGCUCCUUCAUCCCAGGGAUCCCUGGAGAUCCCAAAUCCCAAACAUCCCAAAUCCCAAUUCCCCAAUUCCCAAAUCCCAAAUCCCCAAAUCCCAAUAUCCCAAAUCCCAAAUCCCCAAAUCCCAAAUUCCCAAGUCCCCAUUCCCGUUUUCCAGCUGCUGAC